UGGGGAAUAUUGGACAAUGGGCGAAAGCCUGAUCCAGCCAUGCCGCGUGUGUGAAGAAGGUCUUCGGAUUGUAAAGCACUUUAAGUUGGGAGGAAGGGCAGUAAGCGAAUACCUUGCUGUUUUGACGUUACCGACAGAAUAAGCACCGGCUAACUCUGUGCCAGCAGCCGCGGUAAUACAGAGGGUGCAAGCGUUAAUCGGAAUUACUGGGCGUAAAGCGCGCGUAGGUGGUUCGUUAAGUUGAAUGUGAAAGCCCCGGGCUCAACCUGGGUACUGCAUCCAAAACUGGCGAGCUAGAGUAGGGCAGAGGGUGGUGGAAUUUCCUGUGUAGCGGUGAAAUGCGUAGAUAUAGGAAGGAACACCAGUGGCGAAGGCGACCACCUGGGCUCAUACUGACACUGAGGUGCGAAAGCGUGGGGAGCAAACAGG
This 429-nucleotide ribosomal RNA is filed under the name Pseudomonadota bacterium. RNAcentral's name for it is "Proteobacteria bacterium partial 16S ribosomal RNA". It matches the Rfam family "Bacterial small subunit ribosomal RNA", at positions 355 to 776 of the family's 1533-position model. The record is from RNAcentral. Lineage: Bacteria; Pseudomonadati; Pseudomonadota.